Molecule: long non-coding RNA, 7791 nt
Filed under: Cucumis sativus (cucumber)
Lineage: Eukaryota; Viridiplantae; Streptophyta; Magnoliopsida; Cucurbitales; Cucurbitaceae
Description: long non-coding RNA (CSAT_LNC002614)
Source: RNAcentral
CUCUGUAAAAGAAAAAGGAAAAACCCAAAUCAACAAAAAAUCAGAGAAAUAAUUGAGGAAAUGGAUUGGAUGAAUGGGAAGAAGAAGAAAAGGGGUUUUGUAAAACAGACUGUUUGAAGUGUUGAGGGUAUGUUUUGUAGUCGACGGGAUUCCAAUUUAAAAGAAGGUAGAGAAACCAGUCGAAGGUGAAACAGAGUUCGGAGAAGAAGGCGAGAAGCGAAAGGAGGGCAUGGGAUUGGAGGUAAAGGAGACGGUAAAGAAGAAGGGAAAUGGCGAGAAUCAAAAUGAGAAGUUCAACAGAUCUUUGUAUGGGUUUUUUGAUGGCCAAUUUUUGGUAGAGAGGGAAGGAAUUGGACAUUGUUGAAGAGAUUCGGGUGAUGAGUUUAGUGUGUAAAGUUGACACCACUAUUUUAUAGUCUCAAACCAUGAAAUUAUAAUAAAGGUUUUGUAGAUAUAGAGAAACAUUCAAUAUUUGGAGCAGAGGUAUUAGAUAAGUUAACGUGAUUCACGUUGGUUUGGGUGAUUUCGAGAAGGGUGUUUUUCAAAAAAAAAAAUGGAAAAAAUAGGUGUUUUCAAAAUUAUUAGGUUAAAAUGAUAGAUUUUUUCUAUAAAUUAUUAUUUUUAAAUUUAUUGUUAUUAUUAUUAUUAUUAUUAUUAUUUAAUUAUAAAAAAAAUAGUGAAAUAAUAUAUCUAAGUAAGAAGGUAAUUUUAUUGUUUAAUUUAUUUAGUUUUUAAUAAAAUUAAUUUUUCUUUAUCAAUUUUUGAAUGUUCCAUUUUGUUAAAAAGAAAACUAAUAAUUUUAAAUUCAUGAAAAUUAAAAAUUAUUUGUUAUUAAAAAUAAAGAUACAGAUGAUGGAAGGAUAAAUUGAAUAAUAGGGUAUAAAUCAAUAAUAACCGAUAAACCAAUUUUAUGUAUACUUGUUUGAUUGAAGAAUAAAAAGUAAAUCAACUUUUUUUUUUUAAUUUUAUAAAAAUAGUUUUACAAAAGAAAUUAUUUUUAUGUGAAUUUUAUUAUUUUAAACUUUUAAUACUAUAAGCUUAUAGUUUCAUAUUACCUUUUACAAGUUGAAAAUUUUGCUUACAAGUAUAUAUAGAUACACAAAUAGAUAGAUAGAGCAAUAAAAAUAUAUAUAUAUUAAAAAUAAUAAAAGUAAUGAUAAUAUUUAAUGGUGGAAGAUAUAAAAAUUGAUAACAUAUUUACAUUCUAUUACUUUUACACUUUAUUGUUUAUAUUAUUUAAUGGCCCAAGGUAUGUUUAGUGUUUAUAUAUAAGAGAUUUUGUGUUUUAGUUAAUUUUUAGAUGUUUAAAUAGUUUAUCAAUUGUUGUGUUUUUUUUCAAUCAAAUUUAUUUCAAUUUUGAAUAAACUAAAUUUAAUUCAAAUUUUCUUUUACAAAAUAUCAAAUCAUUCUCUCUCUCUGUUAAUGUUUGAUGUCAUAUUAUUAUUUUGUUUUUCUCAUCUUGAUGCAUUUGUUCCUAUAAUGGUAGUUAUUGUCAACUAAUUCAAUUUAUUCCACUUAAUUCAAUAAAUCAUAGAUAAAAAACAAUAUAGUUUUAGUCUAUAAUUAUAGAAAUGUGUAAAUUAUAUUUAAAUUAAUUAUAAUUGAUUAUCAAUUUUAGUCAUUAAAUCAUCCCGUAUAUAUAAUAUAAAAACAAAAGCUACACAAAUAAUCAUCUUCUAAAUUUAUUGAAGUUAAUUUGUUUGUUUUAACAAAAUAAUCUACAACACAAGAAGAUAAGAUAAAGAUAGUUGGGGUUCAAAUAUGUAUAUAUAUAUACAAACAAGGUCAUGUACUUUUUGAUAUUUUGUGACACAAUGUUGGAUGUAUUAAAUUUGUGCUCUAUCUUUUCCGUCCUUCUGGGCUACGUUCUCACGUGUCCGGGGUCCGAUGAUCAUAUCAACCCGCGAUCAUUGAACAAGGAAUUUUCUAGAAGUAAAGCUUGUAUGAAAAUGGCUUGUCUUCGACUUCGACUCUGCUGGUUGGUCCAUCCAUCAGCUUACCCCCCUUUAGUUUUUGGUGAUUUAAUAAUUGAGUGAAUGAGAGAUGACAAAUUCAAUAUAUAUUAUUCACACCAUACAUAUGUGUUCUUUUUUAUUUUGAAAAAAAAUAAUAGAUAAGUAUCUUUAACAGUUAUCUUAAAUUUUCAUUUGAAUAAGUGUGGACAUGAGUCAAAAUUUGAGUAAAUUGUUACGAUUCAACCAAGAACAAAAGUCGUAUAAUUUAUAGACUAGCUACGAAGCAAAGAUUUGAAUGAUUAGGUGAAAAAGUAGUCUUUUAUAUGUAAUAUUCUUUUCUUUUAGGGAGACAUAUACAACUCGAAAUAGAAAAUUUUAAGAAUUUUAUUUUCAUCCAAUAAGUAAAUUCAAAAUUAAGGUAAAGAAUGACACAAAUAUGAAAAUAAGGGUCUCCAUUCGAAAAAUUUGUGAAAAAUGUUGCAUGAUCCAUAGGUGAAGACAAACUAUGGUAAUUUGUUACAAUCUGAAACAUACACAGAGAUAAUGAUAAUUUCUUUUUAAAAAAGGACGAUGACCCCUGAAGGCCGCCAUCCACAAUAGACACAUAAAAAUGUUUUGACAUGGAAUGGACAUAUCCAUAUAUCUAUGAUAAAAUGUGGUAAAACUCAUACCAAAGAUUAGUUCACGUAGAAACGAAUGUACGCAUUAGCUCACAUAAAAGUAAGUGUAGAAUACUAAAAAUAUAUAGGCAGAGAGAACUUAGAAGAGUUUAAUAGAAUUGUUUGUAGUUUUAGUUUUAUACAUAUUGCUUAUUUCCUUGAGUAGCAUGCACUUUUUAGCCAUUUUUUUUUUUGGAUGUUAUAUUGAUUUUUUUUUAUAAGUGUGUGCUUUAGGAAGGAAUUUGAUUUAUGAGUUUAUUUACAUGGAGAAAUUAGAGAAUAUAUAUGUUUGUUGAUUUUAGUAACUCAUUUUAAUUUUGUUUGCAUUUCUUAUUUUGGUGGAAGACGGAAAAAUAAAAGCAAUAUAAAGGGAAGAACGUGUGAGAAUGAAACAAAUGAAAAUCAAAAUAAUCUAGAAAAUAUAAUUUAUAGGUUGCCUUUUACUUCUUUCCUCUUGCCUAUAUAGGUUAUAAAACCUUUUUUUCGUUGUAUAAUCUCAACCUUUUUUUUCUUUUGAAUAGAUAGUUGCAAAUUUAGUCAUUAGAUUCAAAAUAAUUAAGUAUAUAACAAUAUUUUUAAAAAUUUACAAAUAUAACAAAAUUUGUUAAAUUCUAUCAACGAUACAAGUCUAUCAUCGAUGGACUAUAUUGUAAAUAUUGGUCUAUUACUGAUAGAUCAUACGAGUCUAUCAACGAUACAUGUCUAUUAGCGAUAGUUUUGCUAUAUUUGUAAUUUUUUUAAAAUAUUGUUAUAUUCUUAAUUAUUGUUCCUCAAAUGACCAUCAAUUACAAUUAUUCUUAAAAGGAAUGAUGAAUGAUAAUGUAAAUUUAAAUAAAAAUUUGAAAUUACUCCUCCAUCUUCAUCUUUUGUUCAUUCAAGAAAUUGACAAACCACUUAAGAAGAAUUAUCCCACGAGGCAGUAAGUUUUGUUUUUUUGUUUAUAUAAUUAGUUUUGUGAUUGUGCUAAUUUUAUCUCACAAUCUUUGUUCUAAAGUAUCUCUUGAUUAAGAAAUUUCACCAAAUUAAAUUUUGUCACGUCGUCACAACAAGUGAUAAUUAUAAUUUUCUUGAAUUUGGGUAAUUAAGUUUUCUUGUACCCAACCAAAUUAGAUAUAAAAAUUGGGUCAAAUGAGAAUAAUGAACUUAAGUGUAAGUCUAAAAGGUAAAUGAACCCAAGUUUAAAACCAACAAUCAAAUAGACCCAAGUCCACCUAAAGCCUGAGAACUUUCCCUUCGUUUUGGGAUCUUUGGUUGAAGAAACAAUUGAAGCUCUAUUUUGGAGAAUUGAAGUACUCAAAUUCUAAAUGACUCUUAAGACGUGAAGUUCUUAUAAACUUCGAAAUUAACAUCUCCUGAAAGAUAAAACACUAGGAGGAUUAAACUUUAUUUAGACUUCAAGAAAUUGAAUUUUAAAUUGACUUGCAACUACAACAUCCUAAAGACCGAAUAUCAAGAAAUUCUAAAUAUUAACUUGUAUUAGAGAGAAAAUAUUGAUUGAGUAAAUAUUAGAAACCGUAUCCACUAUAUAAAUCAAUAUACAAAAUUCAAUUUCACGAAUUACAUUUAUCCUGAAAUCUCGUGAGAACAGUAUCAUACAUUUGAAUUGGAUGAAUCCUUCUAUUUUAAUUGGAUAUCAAUAGUUUAGAAUUUAAAAUAAUUUAGAAGUAUAUUUAUUGAAAACCAAACACUUUGGCUAAUAACUAAACUAAAUGACUAUUCAAGCAUACUUAAAUUUUAUCAUAAAAGUUAUGCUUUUUUUUGUAAGUCAAGUGCAGAUAUAUAUCUUCCUAAUGGAUAUAUGGGUGUUUGCUAUUUUUAUAAUAUUCGUGAGUAUUCCACAAUUUAAAACAACUCGACUGUCUAACCUUAUAAGAUUUGAACGUUUUAAAAAAACUUAUAAAAGAUUAAUUACUAAACAAAUGCAUGUAAUGAAUUGAUCAACGGAGUGACUAAAAAGAAAAUUUUGAAAUUUAUUAGAAAAGAUUAGCAAAAAUGUCAAACAAUAACAAUGUUUUAUUUAAAGAAAAAGAGUUGAUGAAACUAAUUCAAAGCCAUUUGUAGAAGGGCACAAAAAGCAGUAUCAAAGAAGCCGAUUUACAUAUGGUGGGGAAAGGGAUCCCAUAUUUCCCUUUAGCAAACAACCCUCUCAAAAAGGGUGAGAGAGUCAUUAAGACCCACACACAACCCAAAAUCUCCCCUAUCCCGGACCCUCGUCGUCCAUCACUAGACGAUGGUGGUUGCAAUAUCCCGGCCAACAAUUUCGAUCCCAAUGCCAUCAACUGCAAUAGCACCAUUGCUGUACCGAUGAUAAAUAGUGGCGAUUCAUUAAAAACAAACUUUCCAACGUUGCCAUCAUCGACAUUAUUAUUAGAUUGGCCUUUAGGUGUAACUUCAAACACGGCUUCUGAAAUACCAAAGAGCCUUAGAACAAGGCUCAAAAUUCCAAAGACACAUGAACUUGUAGUAGCGAUAAUUUCCAUCUUUACAUUGUUCCACCAUGCACGAACUGAUAAGCCGCAUUGAAGAUAAACACAUAUUGAAUGGGAGUGGUAAAGGAUAAACAUGGGUACAAACGUUGCCAAUAGAGCUGUGUCUUGGACCUAAACAUUUUACCAAAAACAUAUAUAAAACCAUAUAUUUUAUGUUGUAUAUACUUUUAAACCAUAUAGAAGUUUGUUUUUAUAUAUUCAAAUGAGAACUUACUGAAGGCAAGAAGUGAGAGUUGGUGAGGAUAGCAUAGGCAGGAAGAAUGGCAUAAACCAAUUGAGGAAUGGCGUAGAGGCCUCUAAUUAAGAAAUAUGUGUAAGCUAAGCAUUGUCUGAGGGUGAGCCGGGUUAAGAAAAAAGCUAAAAGUGGAGUAUUUUUACGGACCAUGAUCUCCAAACUGCCUGUUACCCAUCUCUUUCUUUGGGUAAGAGCAUCAGGACCACCAGUGGGAGCCAACCCCAAAAACGCAGGUGGGUUUGGCUGCAACAAUACGGACUUCCACCCUUUUGAAUGGAUCUUUAUUCCGGUCAGAAUGUCUUCUGUCAUUGACUCAUAAAGCCAACCCACCUAAAACACAGGUUCAAUUGUUUGUUACCUAAGAUUAUUAUUGGCUUUUAUGUGUUUGUUUUUAUUCACUACAAAACUGACCUUUAAACCCCAGGCAGUGUUAUUUUCGUAGUCGGCGCUGGCUACUUGAUAUGCGGAUUGGAUGGAAGUAGAAAGAUCUAUGGUCGUGUGAGUACGUCCGUUGGCUUGCACCCCUCUUAAUAUUUCAUUGGCUGACUUUGUCAACUCUUCCGAUUCUCCAUAAUUCUCCUCAAUUUUUCCUAAAAACAUAAUAUUACAUAUGAAUAUAUAUGAUCCUUCCAUUGUCUCAACAAAAUUAUAUACGAAAAUGUUACUGUUUCUAAAUUUUAGAGUCAAAUUCGUGAAUAGGUUUAUUCACUACCUGUUUUAUUCGGUGAACUAUUCAAGGUAUAAAUGGUUUUACGUCUAUGAAAGCAAUUACAUCCACAGUAUAGAGGACCUUGAAUUCCUGCCAUCCCACGUAACAAUGUCUACCAAAAUACCACAAAAAAAGAUAAGAACAAUUAUAAGAAAGAAGAAUAUGACAGUUUAGAUUAUUGAACACUAAGAGAGAAGAUUGAAUUACUUGGAAGAGGGUAUUGAGUUGACAACCAAAUGGAUCAUCUUUGGGUUGAUUGUAAAAUAUUUGAGGGAAUUGUACGAAAAUGCUUUCUUGCUCUUCUGCUCCGAGUAAAAUGCACAUAGCCUCAACCACAACAUUUGGGUUGUUGACGUACAUAUCGCAAUCUAUAUUCACUAUAAAUGGUGCAUUUGUCAUCACACCGGAUACCCUAGUCUUUUAUUUAAUUUUCAAUAACAAUAAAAAUCUCUUAGCAUCUAAUUAAGAAAAUGACCCCAUAGAUCUAAUCAACAACUUGUGAAAGAAAAAGUAUUUUGCUCUAAAAUUCUUUAUUACUCUGUUUUGAAAAAUGUCCCUACUUUAAAUUUGUUUUAUAGAAAUAACAUAAUGAUGUUAAUGGCAAGAUAUCCAAAGUGUUAAGUUUGGUAAACAUACCAAAACAUUCAAAGCACCAGCUUUGUAGUGAUGAGGUUGAUUUGGUCGUUUUUCUCUUGCAACAUAUACCAAAUUUGGUAUCCCAUUUGAAUCAUUCCCUUUGUUUUCUAAUAAAAUCUGCAAAAUUUCCUCAUUAACAAACUCCAUAAAUAUUACGAAUUAAAGAAUAGUAACACAAUCUAAUUACCUUAAUAAUGGUGGGAUGGUUCUUCUUGUCUGUGUUUCUAAAAGCUUCAUAGUAUUUAGAAGUUUCGUAUACCAUUGGGUUCUCUUCCGCAGCUUCAAUCUUCUCACGAAGUCGUUCAUAUUCAUCCUAUGUAUAAUAUAAAAAUAGAGGUCAUUUAUUAGUUCAUAUACUUUCAAGUUUACUAAAAAUAUAUAUAUACAUAUUGAAUGUGUGUACCUUCAUCCUCUUCUCCUCCUGUUGGAAUUCAUGGCCGGCGGCGGAUGGAGACUUACCGGAGAAGUAUCUAAACGGAGCUCUAACUUGGACGUUAUACUUCUUACAGAAAGGAACCCAAAUUCUAGCAAAAUUCGAGGCUUCAACAAGAGCGUAUAGCAAAACCGGAGAUCCCCCAUCGUCGGAGAUAUAGCAAGUAAGUUUUCCAGCCGGAUAAUCUACGGCCAACAGAGACAACACUGUGUUGGCCACCAUAACCGACGGCUCAAGCUUCCAAUCCGCAGUCGUCACCAACACGUCCACCGCAGGAACCUCAUGAACUCUGUAAAAGAAAAAAGAAAAACCCAAAUCAACAAAAAAUCAGAGAAAUAAUUGAGGAAAUGGAUUGGAUGAAUGGGAAGAAGAAGAAAAGGGGUUUUGUAAAACAGACUGUUUGAAGUGUUGAGGGUAUGUUUUGUAGUCGACGGGAUUCCAAUUUAAAAGAAGGUAGAGAAACCAGUCGAAGGUGAAACAGAGUUCGGAGAAGAAGGCGAGAAGCGAAAGGAGGGCAUGGGAUUGGAGGUAAAGGAGACGGUAAAGAAGAAGGGAAAUGGCGAGAAUCAAAAUGAGAAGUUCAACAGAUCUUUGUAUGGGUUUUUUGAUGGCCAAUUUUUGGUAGAGAGGGAAGGAAUUGGACAUUGUUGAAGAGAUUCGGGUGAUGAGUUUAAU